GUCCAGACUCCUACGGGAGGCAGCAGUGAGGAAUAUUGGUCAAUGGCCGGAAGGCUGAACCAGCCAAGCCGCGUGAAGGACGAAGGUGCCAAGCAUUGUAAACCUCUUUUGUCAAGGGACAAAAUCAGGCUCGAGAGCCUGACCGAGGGUACUUGAAGAAAAAGCAUCGGCUAACUCCGUGCCAGCAGCCGCGGUAAUACGGAGGAUGCGAGCGUUAUCCGGAUUUAUUGGGUUUAAAGGGUGCGUAGGCGGGCUGUAAAGUCAGCGGUAAAAGCCCGGGGCACACCCCCGGCGAGCCGUUGAAACUGGCGGGCUGGAGUUGGAGAGAAGUACGCGGAAUGCGCGGUGUAGCGGUGAAAUGCUUAGAUAUCGCGCAGAACCCCGAUUGCGAAGGCAGCGUACCGGCUCCACACUGACGCUGAGGCACGAAAGCGUGGGUAUCGAACAGGAUUAGAUACCCCCGUA
RNAcentral lists this ribosomal RNA (465 nucleotides) under uncultured bacterium. RNAcentral's name for it is "bacterial SSU rRNA". It matches the Rfam family "Bacterial small subunit ribosomal RNA", at positions 329 to 792 of the family's 1533-position model. The record is from RNAcentral.